Orcinus orca (killer whale) is the source of this 2480-nucleotide long non-coding RNA. RefSeq lists it as uncharacterized. The transcript has 2 exons. The record is from RefSeq and is a predicted model, not a curated record. NCBI's taxonomy places the organism in Eukaryota, Metazoa, Chordata, Mammalia, Artiodactyla, Delphinidae.
GGAGCCAGCGCCGCGCAGCCUGGGCGGCCGGAGUCGGGGCAGGGGAGACGGGUUCAAAAAAUAAUUAAAAAUCGAGGAAAUACCCCAGACAAGACCUUUCGCCGUGAAAACCCCACAGAGGACCCAGGCUACCCGCAACGGAGGUUUGGGGUGCCGGGAAGGUCUGGACCGCGACCCCUGGGGCUUUGGAUACCGAGGGGGAAACUUGCAGGGGUGAGCGCGGCGGCGGGAGUGUCCGGCCGCGGCCCACAAGGGCAGAGGCCGGGGACGGUGGCGAAGAGCUGGGGGACAGACGAGAACGGGGAGCCGCCGGAGAGAGGCGCGGGGGGCUCCGGCCUCUCCUUCGGGGGGGACCCGCUAUCGCCCCUGCACACACCUCCUCCCCCCUCCCACCCCACCCAGCUCUCCGCACCCAGGAAACUGAAGGCCGAAACGAGGACAUAUGACAAAACUGGCUCCUACAGGAUUGACGUUGAAAAUUCACCUUCCAGAAGAUGCCCGGGCAUCCGUGUAGACUGGACUUGGUCUCCACCCUCUUUGUCCUGGGCAGUCAGACCUGGUGCCUGGUGGUGACCUCGAGCCAGAAGAAGCCUCUCGCCAAGAUCACCAAGAAGGCGGCAUUCGUUUCUCCGUGCUGGCUAAGCUAGGAAAGCCUGGCUUUGAGAGGUUUUUUGUAACAAGAAUUGAAACCUAAAGGAUUUUUUUUCAAAUUAUCCUUCAGGGGCUUCCCUGGUGGCGCAGUGGUUGGGAGUCCGCCUGCCGAUGCAGGGGACACGGGUUCGUGCCCCGGUCCGGGAGGAUCCCACAUGCCGCGGAGCGGCUGGGCCCGUGAGCCACGGCCGCUGAGCCUGCGCGUCCGGAGCCUGUGCUCUGCAACAGGAGAGGCCACAACAGUGAGAGGCCCGGGUACCGCAAAAAAAAAAAAAAAUUAUCCUUCAGCUGCCAGAAAUGGAGUUUGGAAGAACUUCUCCAAACUCUGGGGGCUUUGGCCAAUGGACCUUUUACUGUAACAAGUACAUCAGAAGCCAAUAAAUUGGGGAAGAAGGUACACACUUUACCAAAAGAUUUCUUGCUGAGCGAGACACUCUCCCACCGUGCAUCUUUAAACAGAGCAAUUCGGACACAUUUUAAAUGGCUUCAUUCACUUGAAAGUGAGAGCUGUCUGUUGCAUUCAGAAAAUGUGGCGAAGUGUACUUGAUUUUGAAAUCCUCAAAAAUCAUAUCACGUUCAAGCUAAAAAGGGCACUUGGGUCUUAUCUCCUCCGCUUAAAGGAGAUGCCACAGCGACCUGGAGAAAUUAAGUGACGUGGUGGCGCCUCAAGGCUUUGUCUGCGGCAGGCCAUCCGGUUUCCAGCUUUCUCCCGUGACUGGACGCCUUCUUUGCAUCCCAGCUACCCGACCGUCCCUGGUUAGGACUCUCUACCUGGUCCUCAGCUGCUGUCAUGGAUGCGUAAUCAUCGAUCCCCUUCUGGGUAUUUUUGGUAUUGCUUUUUCCUGUUUUCAUGGAAAAUUUUCAAACAUAAAGGUAGAGAAUAUAAUAUAAAUAACUCCCAUGUGCUCUACCCAGCUUCUACAAUUAUUAACAUACGGCCAAUCUUCUUUUAUGCAUACCUCGCCCCAGAUUCCCCUGCUGCACAGAUGAUUUUAAAGCAAAUCCAAAUAUCACGCAAUUUCAUCUGUAAACACUCCAAGUGUACCCACAGAAGAACCCUCUCAUACAUACGUAUAUAUGUACAAUAUAGUGAUCACAACUAAAAAAAAGAACAAUAAUUCCUUAAUAUCCAAUUUCCCCGAUUGUCUGUCUGUCACUCUUUUGCAACUGAUUUGUUAGAAUAAGAAUCCAGCGGAAGGUUGGGUUGCAGGUAUCGGGCAGAAUGAUCAGCUGCUCAUUCAAAGUUCUUGCAUGAGGAUGUUUGCUGAAUGAGAGGGAAUAAAUUACAUAAGAAAAAUACUUUAUGAUAAUUAUAGAUCACAGUUAUCUAUGCCUUUAUACUUCCUAAGCUUCUUUGACCCAUGACCUGCAUGUCUGGAGAUGUUAUGGGAUCCAAUUAGGGGUCCAGCAGAGACCACCUGAUUCCUGAAAACAGCAAAGCACCAUGAUAACCUCCAGCUCAUUAAAAUUCUAGCCUCUCCUUUUAAAAGGAGAGGCUCGAGAGAUUCUCACCCUCUUCGAGACACUUUUUUUUUAGAGAACCUCCUGUAGCCUUCACAGGAACCCUGUAAAGUAGGUGCCUUCGUUCUCAUUCCACUGAGGAAUCCCAGGCACGGAGGGGCUGAGACAUUUCCUCAAGGUCACCCAGCAUUUAAACUCUGUCGUAUACUAAUAUAUGACACCACCUGUAAUAUACUAGUAUCGAUUACAAGGCAACUGUAAUUUUCAGUGUUGAAAAGUCACCUUGAUUAACUUUAUCAGUUUUCCCUUUUAGAAUAUGGCUUUGAUGUAUGAAAGGAAAUGCCGUUUAAGGCAACUUCGACUCUUCA